GACGAACGCUGGCGGCGUGCCUAAUACAUGCAAGUCGAACGCUUCUUUCCUCCCGAGUGCUUGCACUCAAUUGGAAAGAGGAGUGGCGGACGGGUGAGUAACACGUGGGUAACCUACCCAUCAGAGGGGGAUAACACUUGGAAACAGGUGCUAAUACCGCAUAACAGUUUAUGCCGCAUGGCAUAAGAGUGAAAGGCGCUUUCGGGUGUCGCUGAUGGAUGGACCCGCGGUGCAUUAGCUAGUUGGUGAGGUAACGGCUCACCAAGGCCACGAUGCAUAGCCGACCUGAGAGGGUGAUCGGCCACACUGGGACUGAGACACGGCCCAGACUCAUACGGGAGGCAGCAGUAGGGAAUCUUCGGCAAUGGACGAAAGUCUGACCGAGCAACGCCGCGUGAGUGAAGAAGGUUUUCGGAUCGUAAAACUCUGUUGUUAGAGAAGAACAAGGACGUUAGUAACUGAACGUCCCCUGACGGUAUCUAACCAGAAAGCCACGGCUAACUACGUG
This 508-nucleotide ribosomal RNA is filed under the name uncultured bacterium. RNAcentral describes it as "partial 16S ribosomal RNA". It matches the Rfam family "Bacterial small subunit ribosomal RNA", at positions 28 to 507 of the family's 1533-position model. The record is from RNAcentral.